Molecule: non-coding RNA, 30 nt
Filed under: Mus musculus (house mouse)
Lineage: Eukaryota; Metazoa; Chordata; Mammalia; Rodentia; Muridae
Source: RNAcentral
UGAAUUUGCCUUCAUUCAGUGCUCUGUCAA